This 74-nucleotide transfer RNA is filed under the name Bacteroidales bacterium. Its description in RNAcentral is "tRNA-Met". It matches the Rfam family "tRNA". From Rfam's summary of the family: Transfer RNA (tRNA) molecules are approximately 80 nucleotides in length. Their secondary structure includes four short double-helical elements and three loops (D, anti-codon, and T loops). Further hydrogen bonds mediate the characteristic L-shaped molecular structure. tRNAs have two regions of fundamental functional importance: the anti-codon, which is responsible for specific mRNA codon recognition, and the 3' end, to which the tRNAs corresponding amino acid is attached (by aminoacyl-tRNA synthetases). tRNAs cope with the degeneracy of the genetic code in two manners: having more than one tRNA (with a specific anti-codon) for a particular amino acid; and 'wobble' base-pairing, i.e. permitting non-standard base-pairing at the 3rd anti-codon position. Lineage: Bacteria; Pseudomonadati; Bacteroidota; Bacteroidia; Bacteroidales. The record is from RNAcentral.
GGCGGGGUAGCUCAGGUGGUUAGAGCGUCGGAUUCAUAACCCGAAGGUCGCGAGUUCAACUCUCGUCCCCGCUA